Molecule: ribosomal RNA, 441 nt
Filed under: uncultured bacterium
Lineage: Bacteria
Description: partial 16S ribosomal RNA
Rfam family: Bacterial small subunit ribosomal RNA
Source: RNAcentral
CCUACGGGCGGCAGCAGUGGGGAAUAUUGCACAAUGGGCGAAAGCCUGAUGCAGCAACGCCGCGUGAAGGAAGACGGUUUUCGGAUUGUAAACUUCUGUUCUUAGUGAAGAAUAAUGACGGUAACUAAGGAGCAAGCCACGGCUAACUACGUGCCAGCAGCCGCGGGAAUACGUAGGUGGCAAGCGUUGUCCGGAAUUACUGGGGGUAAAGGGAGCGUAGGCGGGACGCCAAGUCAGCUGUGAAAACUACGGGCUUAACCUGUAGACUGCAGUUGAAACUGGAUUGCUUGAGUGAAGUAGAGGUUGGCGGAAUGCCGAGUGUAGCGGUGAAAUGCGUAGAUAUUCGGAGGAACACCGGUGGCGAAGGCGGCCAACUGGGCUUUAACUGACGCUGAGGCUCGAAAGUGUGGGGAGCAAACAGGAUUAGAUACCCUAGUAGUC